This is a long non-coding RNA of Drosophila albomicans, 2897 nucleotides long. RefSeq lists it as uncharacterized. Lineage: Eukaryota; Metazoa; Arthropoda; Insecta; Diptera; Drosophilidae. The record is from RefSeq and is a predicted model, not a curated record. The transcript is spliced from 3 exons.
UCGACAGGCUGGCAACACUUUCGCUUUGCAUAAUGUUAACAGAGUGAGAGGCAGGGUUUAUCGAUAAUCUGACAGUUAUCGUAGUCAGCUUAAAGCGAUGGCUGUCUUAGGUUAAAGACGAAUUAAAUAUAAACAACUGCUUGGAGCGUUGAAUUGAAUAUUAAAUUAUGAGAGAAGAGGCGUGCCACUUAGCAGCAUCAUUUGAUGAACUGUCUGCGCGGCCAUAAGCCCCCAAAAGGACAUACGCAUUUCAAUUCCCCAAGCGCAGCUUAGCACCACAAUAAAAUGAAGUGCAGCAGUAAAAGGAAUAUGAAAAGAGCGACGACGACACGGACACAAUGGGGAAGGAGCGAAGGGGAGAAUGCUGUGUAAGUGCGUGGAGCAUAAAGUAUGCGCCGCAAGUGAUAAGCCAAAAGCAAAAUGGACACCGAAAGCCUCACUAGUCAAUAUGCUAAAGGUCAUGGGAGGAUGCCAAAAAUAUUACAACUACGACAACAAACAAGGGCAACGACUACAAGCUGAACUGGAGCUGGAGCUGGAGCUGGCAAUGAAGCUGGAAGCAGCGGGAGCUUAGUGGCAACAACAAGAAGCAUAACCUAAGGCAGGCCAAGGAUAUUGGGGCGUUCACGAAAAAGUUAAACACACUUUAUGUUGGGGCCUGUGCCCGGGUCGGACAAAAAUGCCUGGCAUUGGAUUUGAGCGCCAAAACCACCGAAGCGACCAACAAAAAAAAUAUACGAAGCAACGGCAGAAAGGAAAGCAAACGAUGGCGGCCAAAAAAUGACGUGCCCAGGACGAUGGCGACAUGCCCGCCAGCAGUAAGCAGCAAAAGCAGCAGCAGCAGUUCAAGAAUAACAAGCACACUAAAGUCAGCUGCCAGCUCAAGGUUCAAGACCUUUACAUGAUAGUAGAUAGCAACAGCUUUAACAACAGUCUACGCCUCAAGCAAAUAUUUACUGGACAGCGCCGAAAUAAAAGAAAUCUUUUUUUCAAAUUAAAAACAAGUGAUAAACAACUGAAGCACAGGACUGGUUUUAAUACUUCACAUAAAAAUAUUGUUUAUCAUGCUGUUAAAUCAGAGGCAGUCACAAAAAAUUGAUUGGUUUUAUGUGGACUGUAAAUUUAAUCGAGCGAUAAUUAACUACCACUUUAGCUUGCACAUUAGAAACUGACUUUAAUGAUAAUCAAUUGUUGUUGUUUAUGAAGAAGUUAUUAAUAUUUCGUAUGAUAUUUACUUUAAUUUUAAUUAUCGAGUUUUAUAAAACCGUUAUACCCUUUUGCCGGGUAUAACAAAUAUUCGAGGGGAGACUCAGUUAUACGGAAGGAUGUCUUCGGUCUCUGAUGCUUGCCAGGCACGUAAGCAGUUGAUGCCUGCUCCCGUCUACCUACUGCCGUCUACCGUCUGCCCCCAACCUGCUGAAGGAGAUGAAGCAAAAAGAAAACUCCACAGGCCACAGUUUUUGGGAUGCUCGUCCUUUGUGCUGUGUCCUUGGGGUUGGUAAACACGGCACCAAAUUGCCGUUUAAAUUUCUCCCCAAUGUAUGUGGCUCCCAAAACGGGGAGCGGCCUUGAAACAUUAUGAUGACUACUGCCAGGAGUUACCUAUCUCCGAAAGAGGAAAAACAAUGCUGGAAACUUUAGAUUUGAAGUUGUGGUUGUCAGGCAAUGUGUCUGGAGACGUUAACUGCGACCUAUGCCUCCACCCUUUGGAGUCUGAGCCAUGUCAAAGGAUCGCAAAGCCGCCGCACUGUUUAAUGCGUCUGCAGAGCAAGGGUUCGUUGAGCUGUGGUCGCUUAACUAAUUAAACUUGUUUCAGGUACGAGGACAUGCAAAUAUUUUUAAGAGUCUACCCAAAACGCAUGUUAUGGCCAAAUUGCAAUGUGUUUCGACGAUGGAAACAUGAAAAAUGUAUUCCGGCACAUGCUAAACGACUAGAGAAUGCUCUUUCCCAAAACGGCAAAGUCCCUUGACAUCACGUCAAGUUCGCUCACUCAACUUGUCAGCUGUCUAGCGCAUUAAAACUAACUGCUAAAUUAUUGGGAAAGUAACCCAUCCAUCUCGGGGAUCUUAGGGCCUGCCAGGAUGCUGCCGGCGAUGUUCGUGUGUUCGUGUGGGGCAGGCAAAAAAUGAAGAAAAAUUGCGGCAUGUCAGUUAAAGGCACAACAACAAUAAAAAGGGACAAAACAGAGAAGAGAUGAACAUGAAGACAUUGUGUUGGGGACUGAAGUCGAGGCGAACACGCGCCAAAAGCAUCCAACAACAAUAUUAACAACAACAGGAACAGGAACAAGAACACGAAUAGAAACUGGCAGCAGAAGCUGAUGCUGCUGCCAGGACGAAAAUGUAAUAAGUGUGUCUAUUUGUUCGCAAAUAUUUCAUUUCCCGUGCCUUUAUUUCACAUUUCGCAUUUCGCCAUAAAGACACUCGUCUAACUCCCGCACAAAGCGUUCUUCGUUCCUGCGUUCGGCGAAAAAUGAGAAAACCCAGGAAGAGGAAAACGAACACGAAAACGAAAACUUAAUUUAACUUUAUGAUAACAAUGACCAAAUAUUUAGCUACCUAAUGUUCUUAAUAUUUUGUUAGCUAUUUCGAAAAGGUAACAGCGAUUAUCAUUUGCCGUAUGAAUGAUAACAAAGCAGAUGAGCUGCCAGGUAACCUCUAAUUAACUAGAUGUCUCUAUUAAGGAUACAUAUGAUAGAUUAGGUAAGGAAGUCGUAGUGAGGAAAUCCCCUGAAGGUGGCCAGGUCAACAAACUCAAAGUUGAGUAUCUUAAUAGAAAUUUUAAUGGUAUAUACUUGAAUGUUUUAUUUAGUUUCUUAAAAUGUAAUAACUGAAAGAGGCGAAUACAAAAUUUGUCAAAAAUUGUAUACCAAAUAAAAAUUUAAGUUGUUGGUUAA